UCCAUGCGUAGUCUUACUGAGUGGCUGUAUUCGUGCUUCUCUUCGGAGACGCGAAGCUACCCGACCUGAUGUCAUUUUAUCCGAGGGCGCGCCCGCUUGAGAAGACAGCGGUUUGACGUUGUGGUGUUACCCGGACGAGGCGCUUGUCUCGUAAGGGGAAGCUUCCGGGUCGGGCCGUGGCGCGUUCCUUGGCACAACUUUCCGCGGAAGUGGUAGGCGUUGACUUGCCCGCCGCGGGCCAUACUUUUCACAACUCUCGAAGAAAACCUGAAGUCUGAAUACCAAAACAAAAACGAAAAGCAAAACUUUCAACAACGGAUCUCUUGGCUCUGGCAACGAUGAAGAACGCAGCGAAACGCGAAAGGUAAUGCGAAUUGCAGAAUCAGUGAGUCAUCGAAUCUUUGAACGCACAUUGCGCCUCUCGGUAUUCCGGGAGGCACGCCUGUUCGAGCGCCAUUACAAACUCCAAGCGUGGCUUGAUGUUGGGCGAUGUCUUUUUGCGAGAGCGGGAGACACGCCUGGAACGCGUUGGCGCCGCCGCCGGACCACGAGCGUAGCAAGACGAGAGUCAAUCGCAUCGAUUUGGUUUCCGACGGAGGUCCGCCUUGUGACUGCACUUUCGAGUGUAGUUGAAAAACUUCUCAAGUUUGGCCUCGGAUCAGGCGGGGAUACCCGCUGAACUUAAGCAUAUCAAAACG
This 698-nucleotide ribosomal RNA is filed under the name Scolecobasidium sp. OUCMBIII101045. RNAcentral describes it as "eukaryotic LSU rRNA". The stretch from base 304 to 456 matches the Rfam family "5.8S ribosomal RNA". The record is from RNAcentral. Lineage: Eukaryota; Fungi; Ascomycota; Dothideomycetes; Venturiales; Sympoventuriaceae.